This 68-nucleotide transfer RNA is filed under the name Loxodonta africana (African savanna elephant). It matches the Rfam family "tRNA". Rfam says of the family: Transfer RNA (tRNA) molecules are approximately 80 nucleotides in length. Their secondary structure includes four short double-helical elements and three loops (D, anti-codon, and T loops). Further hydrogen bonds mediate the characteristic L-shaped molecular structure. tRNAs have two regions of fundamental functional importance: the anti-codon, which is responsible for specific mRNA codon recognition, and the 3' end, to which the tRNAs corresponding amino acid is attached (by aminoacyl-tRNA synthetases). tRNAs cope with the degeneracy of the genetic code in two manners: having more than one tRNA (with a specific anti-codon) for a particular amino acid; and 'wobble' base-pairing, i.e. permitting non-standard base-pairing at the 3rd anti-codon position. Lineage: Eukaryota; Metazoa; Chordata; Mammalia; Proboscidea; Elephantidae. The record is from Rfam by way of RNAcentral.
GGUGGUGUAGUGGUUAAAGUACCUGGCUGGUAACCAGAAGAUCAGCGGUUCAAACCCACUUACCACUC